This 201-nucleotide small nuclear RNA is filed under the name Ophiostoma piceae UAMH 11346. RNAcentral's name for it is "U2 spliceosomal RNA". It matches the Rfam family "U2 spliceosomal RNA". From Rfam's summary of the family: U2 is a small nuclear RNA (snRNA) component of the spliceosome (involved in pre-mRNA splicing). Complementary binding between U2 snRNA (in an area lying towards the 5' end but 3' to hairpin I) and the branchpoint sequence (BPS) of the intron results the bulging out of an unpaired adenosine, on the BPS, which initiates a nucleophilic attack at the intronic 5' splice site, thus starting the first of two transesterification reactions that mediate splicing. Lineage: Eukaryota; Fungi; Ascomycota; Sordariomycetes; Ophiostomatales; Ophiostomataceae. The record is from Rfam by way of RNAcentral.
UCAGCUCUCUUUGCCAUGACGGCUUAGAUCAAGUGUAGUAUCUGUUCUUUUCAGUUUAACAGCUGAAAAAGCCUUACUGAGGCUCUUCUGUUACGCUAAUUUUUGGCAACUUGGGCAGGGCGGUCGACUGAGCUCGUCUCGCGCGACCAUCCGUCCACGGUGUCCCUGGUAUUUCACUGCUUCCAGGCGACGCGAACCCAC